CUUGCUUCUCUUGAGAGCGGCGGACGGGUGAGUAAUGCCUAGGAAUCUGCCUGGUAGUGGGGGAUAACGUCCGGAAACGGACGCUAAUACCGCAUACGUCCUACGGGAGAAAGCAGGGGACCUUCGGGCCUUGCGCUAUCAGAUGAGCCUAGGUCGGAUUAGCUAGUUGGUGGGGUAAUGGCUCACCAAGGCGACGAUCCGUAACUGGUCUGAGAGGAUGAUCAGUCACACUGGAACUGAGACACGGUCCAGACUCCUACGGGAGGCAGCAGUGGGGAAUAUUGGACAAUGGGCGAAAGCCUGAUCCAGCCAUGCCGCGUGUGUGAAGAAGGUCUUCGGAUUGUAAAGCACUUUAAGUUGGGAGGAAGGGCAGUAAAUUAAUACUUUGCUGUUUUGACGUUACCGACAGAAUAAGCACCGGCUAACUCUGUGCCAGCAGCCGCGGUAAUACAGAGGGUGCAAGCGUUAAUCGGAAUUACUGGGCGUAAAGCGCGCGUAGGUGGUUCGUUAAGUUGGAUGUGAAAUCCCCGGGCUCAACCUGGGAACUGCAUUCAAAACUGACGAGCUAGAGUAUGGUAGAGGGUGGUGGAAUUUCCUGUGUAGCGGUGAAAUGCGUAGAUAUAGGAAGGAACACCAGUGGCGAAGGCGACCACCUGGACUGAUACUGACACUGAGGUGCGAAAGCGUGGGGGAGCAAACAGGAUUAGAUACCCUGGUAGUCCACGCCGUAAAC
This 733-nucleotide ribosomal RNA is filed under the name uncultured bacterium. Its description in RNAcentral is "bacterial SSU rRNA". It matches the Rfam family "Bacterial small subunit ribosomal RNA", at positions 79 to 807 of the family's 1533-position model. The record is from RNAcentral.